RNAcentral lists this ribosomal RNA (203 nucleotides) under Salmonella enterica subsp. enterica serovar Schwarzengrund. RNAcentral describes it as "partial 16S ribosomal RNA". It matches the Rfam family "Bacterial small subunit ribosomal RNA", at positions 1 to 211 of the family's 1533-position model. Lineage: Bacteria; Pseudomonadati; Pseudomonadota; Gammaproteobacteria; Enterobacterales; Enterobacteriaceae. The record is from RNAcentral.
AAAUUGAAGAGUUUGAUCAUGGCUCAGAUUGAACGCUGGCGGCAGGCCUAACACAUGCAAGUCGAACGGUAACAGGAAUCAGCUUGCUGCUUUGCUGACGAGUGGCGGACGGGUGAGUAAGGUCUGGGAAACUGCCUGAUGGAGGGGGAUAGCUACUGUAAACGGUGGCUAAUCCCGCAUAAUGUCGCAAGACCAAAGAGGGG